This 181-nucleotide non-coding RNA is filed under the name Dongibacter bovis. RNAcentral describes it as "Selenomonas bovis 6S / SsrS RNA". It matches the Rfam family "6S / SsrS RNA". Rfam says of the family: E. coli 6S RNA was the first non coding RNA to be sequenced, but its function was unknown until recently. The record is from Rfam by way of RNAcentral. Lineage: Bacteria; Bacillati; Bacillota; Negativicutes; Selenomonadales; Selenomonadaceae.
GACCGCCUGGGGUGUGCGCGAGCUUCUGAUUAUGUCGAACCUACACUUUUUCUAGGGAACUCGAUUUGAUUCCUGUGGACGUUGUAUCGCAAGUUACGAGUAACGAAAGCCGGACUUAGGGUACCCACCUGCGAUUUCGCGGGUUUUCGACAUAGUAAGCGAACGGCAUUUUGGACCCCUU